Molecule: non-coding RNA, 398 nt
Filed under: Toxocara canis (dog roundworm)
Lineage: Eukaryota; Metazoa; Nematoda; Chromadorea; Rhabditida; Toxocaridae
Description: Eukaryotic large subunit ribosomal RNA
Rfam family: Eukaryotic large subunit ribosomal RNA
Source: Rfam by way of RNAcentral
UCAUUGUUGCGAUAGUAAUCCUGCUUAGUACGAGAGGAACCGCAGGUUCAGACAUUUGGUUCAUGUGCUUGGCCGAUCGGCCAAUGGUGCGAAGCUACCAUCUGAGGGAUUAUGACUGAACGCCUCUAAGUCAGAAUCCCGCCUAGUCAAGGCAACGAUAAAUUUGCUCCCCGGUGUCGGGAGGCACUUCUAUGCAACUUUUGUUACAGCUAAUGCCCCAUUAGAUGGCCUUGCCAAGCUGCUGAAAGGUAGCUUGGUUGCCAAAGCCGGACUACACGGUGCAACGUCGGGGCGCAAAAUCACUUGCAGACGACUUGAUUACUGGUCAAGGUGUUGUAUCCAGUAGAGCAGCCUCCAUACUGCGAUCUGUUGAGACUUAUCCUUUGAUUGGACGAUUU